UCAAGACGUUCCCUAAUAUUUUUAGCCUCAAAUUUUUCUUGUUCCCAUGUGUACCAUCUCCCAUUGUAACCCAAAUCAUGAAGGUCACGAUCUAGAAGUGCAGAUUGAAAGUCUUGCAUCUGUCUAUCCCCUCGAACACGUCAACAUGAUUUUUCAAAGGAGUAGGUAAUUUUGUUGAAAUCCCUUACCACCAACCAUGGGAGAGAUUGAUCAGUACCCAGUCUUUGAAGUAAAUUCCAAGAGAAUAGUCGAUGUCGCCCCUCAGGAUGACCAUAAAAACCCGUUAGACGCCAUUUAAUAUCACUACCUUCUUUGUGCACCUCAACAUCUACAUGGUGAUUAGAAAAGCUAUGCAAGGUUACCUUCAUAUUUGUUUUUCAUCCUAAAAACAACUCCUUUUUAGACUCGUUUGCUCCUAUAUCGAUCCUAUGGCUAUAGCCACAAUAUCUUUGAAUAUUCUCCAUCCUUCGAACAUUGAAUUUUGUUUCCAUGAGAAAUGAAAUUUGGGGACGAACAACUCUCAAUUUAUUUUUGAGCCAAUUAACAGUCCGUGGGUUCCCCAGCCCACGAACAUUCCAGCUUAAGGUAUUCAUAAUGCCUGACUACUCUACCCUACAGAGUCAGCUGAUAAAACAUCAUCACUGUCGGGUAUAUCUGCAACUCGAAUGACCAUUUGGCACUUUUUCCCUUCAUUGUGGUGGAUCGAGCUCCCUUCUCCUAAUAGAUCACAAACCAUGGAUUCAUGAGGUGUUAAGGAAUUACCAUCAUGCCCAUAUGUUGUGCGAGCACCUCUAUUAAGAUUAGCAACAAUUUGGUCAUCAAUGCCUUUAUUUCUCUAAUUGUUUUGAACCCCCAUACUAGGGAUUCGAUUCCCAAAAUCACGUUGAAUUGAAUCAUUUUCCUCAUUCAUUCCCCCAAUUUCCAUUCCAUCUGAUUGGCGUAGCCAUCGGCUUACUCUCUUCGGUCCCCUUUUCGCCGCUAUACGCAAGGAAACAUCCCAGCCAAAGACAAUUUUUGAUGGAUCCACCCUCGUUCGUAUCGGACAGAAACUCUCUCCGUGGCCCGACUUCCCACAGAUAAAACAGAAAAGUCGAAGUUUCUCAUAUUGGAAUCGGGCGUAAUAGGACUAGUUCCCUACUUGAACCUUCUUCCUUCGAUUUAGAGCCACCCGAACAUCCAAUCUAACUUCUAUUUUCAUCUAUUGAGAUAUGCCCAAUGAUGGAAGUCGCAUAUCAUACUCCAUGAAAUCCCCUAGAAAGUCACCAAAAUGUCUCGCCAUAUUUUUUGACAUAAGGCCUGGUGGCAAGUCGUGGACUUGGAUCCAAAAAAUCGCAGAAUGUAGAGAAACAGUAGGAGGGUCUUCAUUUUUAUCCAACUUGUGCAAAAUUAAGAGAUGGUUAUUAAAGAACCAUGAUACCACCAAUGGGGUGCCAUAGAUCCACCAGCGUGUUACGUAAUGACGAAAAAUGGGCUACACUAUCAAUGAGGCAAGUACCAACCAAAGAGAAUUCCAAAUCUCGAUCAAUUAUCUGUGCAUCUUUAUGAAAGGCAUUUUCUUCCUCAUCAUCUGAGAAGCGAAUGUUUGCCAGAUCGUCUUCCAUGAUGGUCCCACUCAAGAAAGCAGUAGCGUAAUCACAAAAUCAGUAAGAUCAUCGAGAGAAACAAGAAGAAAUCAGACAUAAGACAAAAGAACGUAUCAAUGCGGCGAGAGAGAGCGUGCUAAUUAGCAGACUUAAAAGGAUUUUUGGAUAUGUUUUAUAUAUUUAUUAUUUUUAAACAUUAAUAUGAAUUUUUAGGGGAAUCAAUCUUGUAUUUUGAACUUUUUUUUAAAUAGAUUUUUAACCCGA
This is a long non-coding RNA of Gossypium raimondii (Peruvian cotton), 1847 nucleotides long. RefSeq lists it as uncharacterized. The transcript is spliced from 2 exons. The record is from RefSeq and is a predicted model, not a curated record. Lineage: Eukaryota; Viridiplantae; Streptophyta; Magnoliopsida; Malvales; Malvaceae.